This 1091-nucleotide long non-coding RNA is filed under the name Naja naja (Indian cobra). RNAcentral's name for it is "lncRNA (ENSNNAG00000009541.1)". The record is from RNAcentral. Lineage: Eukaryota; Metazoa; Chordata; Lepidosauria; Squamata; Elapidae.
GUUUCCUAUAGCGGGCUAGUCCAGGCGAGAACAAGGUUUCUUAACGUCAAGUAAGUUCGCUUGCCUUUUUUUUUUUUUGGGAACUUCACCAGAUAAGCAGCUUCAUCUUUCAUACGUAGGUUUUACUCAGAAAAGAAAAAGGAAAAAAGAAAGAAAGAAAAAAAUAGUUUGACGCCAAGAGGCAAAGCGGAAAAAUCGGUUACGUUGGUUAAGGUGCGCCAAGACGCUUUGGGGUUUCUGCUGCGUGUAAGAGGCAGUUCCUCCUUGGGACGAAGGCAACCAGAAACAAGUCUUCUGAGCUGGUCCAGGCUCUGAGAAUCGAAGCCUGGCAGGAGGGAGACCUUCCUGAACAAAUCCGGACUGAAAGCUUCUGCCCAUUGGCUGCCAAUGAGGGAACCCUUGCAGGCCAGCGGUUCGCUUGAUGGCUGUACUUUUGGGCCUCCAGCUCCGUUGUGUUGGCGAGGUUUUCUUCCUACUGUGGCAGGAUCUGUAUCCGAAGCUUCCAUUUUCUCACCUGGGCCCGUGUGACCACAGCACCCAAGACUCUCCUUCCUGUCUCCUGAAAUAUAUCCAAGGUAAGAGAGCACCUUCUGAAAAAGCAUUCCAUGGUUUACUUCCCUGGAUCCUUGGCCUAAAUAAAAAAGAACUGGGAUUAUAAAGAGUAUUUGUCACUUUGAAGACUGCCCAGGGAACUGAACUUCAGAACUGACCUCCAGUAUAGGAGAAAUGGGGAUGAAGAUGUUGACUAUCUUUCAUAUGAUACAUUCUAGUUAUUAUACUAGGAAAUGAAGCAGAAGUUUCCAGAUCCAGUAUCAGUCCACCAAUUUGAAACUCGUAUUUCUAUGCAAUGGUUAACGUGCUCAUUUUCGUACAUUUGGCUGCCAAAAACCAGAGGAUUUUGUGAAAGCUGUGAUGUCAUCUUCUGCCCAAUGGACAGAAACGUAGUUGCAUUUGAGCAAUAAAGUGUUCAAUUUCUUUCCCUCUCUCUCCUGCCUCUUCUCCCCCCUCCUCCCCUCUGUUAUUCCAUUGUUCCUUGGGUUAUGUUGUUGUUAUGGCAACAGCUAAGAUAAUAAACUUGUAAUAAACUUGGC